CCCCGUAGCCAUGCUGCGGGGGUAUCUUUCUGACUGCAACAAGGGGUCUGCCCGUG
Molecule: regulatory RNA element, 56 nt
Organism: Erwinia mallotivora
Lineage: Bacteria; Pseudomonadati; Pseudomonadota; Gammaproteobacteria; Enterobacterales; Erwiniaceae
Rfam family: ClpQY promoter
Source: Rfam